This 412-nucleotide ribosomal RNA is filed under the name uncultured bacterium. RNAcentral's name for it is "bacterial SSU rRNA". It matches the Rfam family "Bacterial small subunit ribosomal RNA", at positions 64 to 507 of the family's 1533-position model. The record is from RNAcentral.
GAACGAGAAAGUGGAGCGAUCCAUGAGUACAGUGGCGACCGGGUGAGUAACACGUGACCAACCUACCCUCGAGUGGGGAAUAACUCCGGGAAACCGGAGCUAAUACCGCAUAACAUCGCAAGAUCAAAGCCGCAAGGCGCUUGAGGAGGGGGUCGCGGCUGAUUAGCUAGUUGGUAGGGUAAUGGCCUACCAAGGCGAAGAUCGGUAGCCGGGACUGAGAGGGCGCACGGCCACACUGGAACUGAAACACGGUCCAGACUCCUACGGGAGGCAGCAGUGGGGAAUUUUGCGCAAUGGGGGAAACCCUGACGCAGCAACGCCGCGUGGAGGAUGAAGUCCCUUGGGACGUAAACUCCUUUCGACCGGGACGAUACUGACGGUACCGGAAGAAGAAGCACCGGCUAACUCUGUG